GAUGAACGCUAGCGGCAGGCUUAACACAUGCAAGUCGAGGGGCAGCGCGGGAUAGCAAUAUCCUGGCGGCGACCGGCGGAAGGGUGCGUAACGCGUGAGCGACAUGCCCGUUGCCCGGGGACAACCGGUGGAAACGCCGACUAACCCCCGAUGGGAUACGAUGCUUCAUGGCAUUGUAUUGAAAGUUACGGCGGCGACGGAUUGGCUCGCGUCCGAUUAGCUGGUUGGCGGGGUAACGGCCCACCAAGGCUGCGAUCGGUAGGGGUUCUGAGAGGAAGGCCCCCCACAAUGGGACUGAGACACGGCCCAUACUCCUACGGGAGGCAGCAGUGAGGAAUAUUGGUCAAUGGGCGGAAGCCUGAACCAGCCGUGCCGCGUGCGGGAAGGAGGCCCUAUGGGCUGUGAACCGCUUUUGCCUGGGGGCAAUAAGGGCGUCGCGCACGUCCGAUGAGAGUACCAGGCGAAUAAGCAUCGGCUAACUCCGUG
RNAcentral lists this ribosomal RNA (486 nucleotides) under uncultured bacterium. RNAcentral describes it as "partial 16S ribosomal RNA". It matches the Rfam family "Bacterial small subunit ribosomal RNA", at positions 28 to 507 of the family's 1533-position model. The record is from RNAcentral.